This 1392-nucleotide ribosomal RNA is filed under the name Lactiplantibacillus plantarum. RNAcentral describes it as "bacterial SSU rRNA". It matches the Rfam family "Bacterial small subunit ribosomal RNA", at positions 73 to 1441 of the family's 1533-position model. The record is from RNAcentral. Lineage: Bacteria; Bacillati; Bacillota; Bacilli; Lactobacillales; Lactobacillaceae. RNAcentral also lists the same sequence under 1 other name.
UUGGUGCUUGCAUCAUGAUUUACAUUUGAGUGAGUGGCGAACUGGUGAGUAACACGUGGGAAACCUGCCCAGAAGCGGGGGAUAACACCUGGAAACAGAUGCUAAUACCGCAUAACAACUUGGACCGCAUGGUCCGAGUUUGAAAGAUGGCUUCGGCUAUCACUUUUGGAUGGUCCCGCGGCGUAUUAGCUAGAUGGUGGGGUAACGGCUCACCAUGGCAAUGAUACGUAGCCGACCUGAGAGGGUAAUCGGCCACAUUGGGACUGAGACACGGCCCAAACUCCUACGGGAGGCAGCAGUAGGGAAUCUUCCACAAUGGACGAAAGUCUGAUGGAGCAACGCCGCGUGAGUGAAGAAGGGUUUCGGCUCGUAAAACUCUGUUGUUAAAGAAGAACAUAUCUGAGAGUAACUGUUCAGGUAUUGACGGUAUUUAACCAGAAAGCCACGGCUAACUACGUGCCAGCAGCCGCGGUAAUACGUAGGUGGCAAGCGUUGUCCGGAUUUAUUGGGCGUAAAGCGAGCGCAGGCGGUUUUUUAAGUCUGAUGUGAAAGCCUUCGGCUCAACCGAAGAAGUGCAUCGGAAACUGGGAAACUUGAGUGCAGAAGAGGACAGUGGAACUCCAUGUGUAGCGGUGAAAUGCGUAGAUAUAUGGAAGAACACCAGUGGCGAAGGCGGCUGUCUGGUCUGUAACUGACGCUGAGGCUCGAAAGUAUGGGUAGCAAACAGGAUUAGAUACCCUGGUAGUCCAUACCGUAAACGAUGAAUGCUAAGUGUUGGAGGGUUUCCGCCCUUCAGUGCUGCAGCUAACGCAUUAAGCAUUCCGCCUGGGGAGUACGGCCGCAAGGCUGAAACUCAAAGGAAUUGACGGGGGCCCGCACAAGCGGUGGAGCAUGUGGUUUAAUUCGAAGCUACGCGAAGAACCUUACCAGGUCUUGACAUACUAUGCAAAUCUAAGAGAUUAGACGUUCCCUUCGGGGACAUGGAUACAGGUGGUGCAUGGUUGUCGUCAGCUCGUGUCGUGAGAUGUUGGGUUAAGUCCCGCAACGAGCGCAACCCUUAUUAUCAGUUGCCAGCAUUAAGUUGGGCACUCUGGUGAGACUGCCGGUGACAAACCGGAGGAAGGUGGGGAUGACGUCAAAUCAUCAUGCCCCUUAUGACCUGGGCUACACACGUGCUACAAUGGAUGGUACAACGAGUUGCGAACUCGCGAGAGUAAGCUAAUCUCUUAAAGCCAUUCUCAGUUCGGAUUGUAGGCUGCAACUCGCCUACAUGAAGUCGGAAUCGCUAGUAAUCGCGGAUCAGCAUGCCGCGGUGAAUACGUUCCCGGGCCUUGUACACACCGCCCGUCACACCAUGAGAGUUUGUAACACCCAAAGUCGGUGGGGUAACCU